Small nucleolar RNA from Erigeron canadensis, 89 nucleotides. RefSeq annotates it as small nucleolar RNA R21. The transcript has a single exon. NCBI's taxonomy places the organism in Eukaryota, Viridiplantae, Streptophyta, Magnoliopsida, Asterales, Asteraceae. The record is from RefSeq and is a predicted model, not a curated record.
UGCCCCAAUGAAGAACUUUCAAAAAUAUAAACGUUAAAAGUAGUGAACUGAUUUCCAAUACAUUGAUGUAUAUUUCAAUCCGAGGGGUU